AGCUUUGUGCAGUGGCAGGAUCAUAGCCAGUGAGGUUUCUCCAGGCGAGAUAUUGCUCACUGAAAAUUAUUUACAACACUCCGGCGUGACAUCCUGCGGUAUAGUCAGUAUUGGCAUUUUUUAACAGUCUCUACGGGGA
Small nuclear RNA from Cynocephalus volans (Philippine flying lemur), 139 nucleotides. RefSeq annotates it as U4 spliceosomal RNA. Lineage: Eukaryota; Metazoa; Chordata; Mammalia; Dermoptera; Cynocephalidae. The record is from RefSeq and is a predicted model, not a curated record. The transcript has a single exon.